This 372-nucleotide ribosomal RNA is filed under the name uncultured organism. RNAcentral describes it as "partial 16S ribosomal RNA". It matches the Rfam family "Bacterial small subunit ribosomal RNA", at positions 527 to 896 of the family's 1533-position model. The record is from RNAcentral.
GGAGGGAGCGAACGUUGUUCGGAAUUACUGGGCGUAGAGGGCGUGUAGGCGGUCGAGUAAGUCAGGUGUGAAAUCUUACUGCUUAACAGUAAACCUGCAUUUGAAACUGCCCGACUUGAGGUCAGGAGAGGAGAGCGGAAUUCCCAGUGUAGCGGUGGAAUGCGUAGAUAUUGGGAAGAACACCAGUGGCGAAGGCGGCUCUCUGGACUGACUCUGACGCUGAGGCGCGAAAGCUAGGGGGAGCAAACAGGAUUAGAUACCCUGGUAGUCCUAGCCGUAAACGAUGGGCACUAGGUGCUGGGAAUAUCGACAUUUUCAGUGCCGGAGCCAACGCAUUAAGUGCCCCCGCCUGGGAGUACGACCGCAAGGUUG